GACGAACGCUGGCGGCGUGCCUAAUACAUGCAAGUAGAACGCUGAAGGAGGAGCUUGCUUCUCUGGAUGAGUUGCGAACGGGUGAGUAACGCGUAGGUAACCUGCCUUGUAGCGUGGGAUAACUAUUGGAAACUAUAGCUAAUACCGCAUAAGAGUAGAUGUUGCAUGACAUUGGCUUAAAAGGUUCAAUUGCAUCACUACCAGAUGGACCUGCGUUGUAUUUGCUAGUUGGUGUGGUAACGGCUCCCCUAGGCGACUAGACGUAGCCGCACUGAGACGGGGGGCGGCCACACUGGGAUGGAGACCGGGCACAGAGUGCUAGGGGAGCGGCCAGUAGGCAAUCUUCGGCAAUGGGCGGAAGUUAGAGCGCGAAAGGCGGAGUGAGUGAAGAAGGACUUCGGAUCGUAAAGCUCUGCUGUAAGAGAAGAACGCGUGUGCGCGUGGAACGAUCAGACUGUGACGGUAUCUUACAAGAAAGCGCCGGCUAACUACGUG
This 495-nucleotide ribosomal RNA is filed under the name uncultured bacterium. RNAcentral's name for it is "partial 16S ribosomal RNA". It matches the Rfam family "Bacterial small subunit ribosomal RNA", at positions 28 to 507 of the family's 1533-position model. The record is from RNAcentral.